AAUUCUCAACUCUCCUAUACUGUUUUGUAGAGGAGGGCUUGGAUUGUGGAGGCUUGCUGGCCAUCUGUUUGAGGUCAGCUCCUCUGAAAUGCAUUAGCGGAACCGUUUGCGAUCUGCCACAAGUGUGAUAAUUAUCUACACUGGCGAGGGGGAUUGCUCUCUGCGUUGUUCAGCUUCUAAUCGUCUCCAUUUUGUGAGACUACUUUUUGAAU
This 212-nucleotide unclassified non-coding RNA is filed under the name uncultured Agaricus. RNAcentral's name for it is "sequence contains ITS2". The record is from RNAcentral. Lineage: Eukaryota; Fungi; Basidiomycota; Agaricomycetes; Agaricales; Agaricaceae.